UACGUAGGGCGCAAGCGUUAUCCGGAAUUAUUGGGCGUAAAGAGCUCGUAGGCGGUUUGUCGCGUCUGCCGUGAAAGUCCGGGGCUCAACUCCGGAUCUGCGGUGGGUACGGGCAGACUAGAGUGAUGUAGGGGAGACUGGAAUUCCUGGUGUAGCGGUGAAAUGCGCAGAUAUCAGGAGGAACACCGGUGGCGAAGGCGGGUCUCUGGGCCGAUACUGACGCUGGAGGAAGCGAAAAGCGUGGGGAGCGAACAGG
This 256-nucleotide ribosomal RNA is filed under the name uncultured bacterium. RNAcentral describes it as "partial 16S ribosomal RNA". It matches the Rfam family "Bacterial small subunit ribosomal RNA", at positions 524 to 776 of the family's 1533-position model. The record is from RNAcentral.